UACGAAGGGGACUAGCGUUGCUCGGAAUUACUGGGCGUAAAGGGCGCGUAGGCGGCCAUUCAAGUCAGAGGUGAAAGCCUGGAGCUCAACUCCAGAACUGCCUUUGAUACUGUUUGGCUCGAGUGUGGGAGAGGUGAAUGGAACUCCGAGUGUAGAGGUGAAAUUCGUAGAUAUUCGGAAGAACAUCCGUGGCGAAGGCGGUUCACUGGCCCAAUACUGACGCUGAGGCGCGAAAGCGUGGGGAUCAAACAGG
RNAcentral lists this ribosomal RNA (253 nucleotides) under uncultured bacterium. RNAcentral's name for it is "partial 16S ribosomal RNA". It matches the Rfam family "Bacterial small subunit ribosomal RNA", at positions 524 to 776 of the family's 1533-position model. The record is from RNAcentral.